GGAGAGCAAGACAGUUGGCAUACUAGGAGCCAUAGAUUUGUCUGUACAGAAUUUCUGUGAGCACCACCUACUGGUGGUCACUACAGACUAGUUUAAAACAUGAAUUUCUAGAUUCAGGAUGAAUGUUUUGCUCAGUUUUUUGUACAGUUGCCUUUUUCAAUAUGAACUGACUGAAAAGAUUUUAUAAAGCUAACUGGUGCUUGACCUUAAACCCCAUUUUUAAAAUUGCCUAGCUGUUGAAAUGGAAUCAUGUUAAAACCUGGCCCCAGGAAUUCUUGUGUCGUUUCAGAAUGAGAGGCAGGAUGAUUUCUGAAAAAAUGAUUCUUAAUCCAAUUUCCACAAUAGGCAGUCUAGUUGAGUUUUGGCCAGAUUAUGCUUUGGGGGUUUUUUCAAGAGCAUGAGCAGUUCAUUUGUUUGGGUUCUGGUCUGCCCAAAAGCAG
RNAcentral lists this long non-coding RNA (440 nucleotides) under Androctonus crassicauda. The record is from RNAcentral. Lineage: Eukaryota; Metazoa; Arthropoda; Arachnida; Scorpiones; Buthidae.